RNAcentral lists this ribosomal RNA (797 nucleotides) under Diplolaimelloides environmental sample. Its description in RNAcentral is "bacterial SSU rRNA". It matches the Rfam family "Eukaryotic small subunit ribosomal RNA", at positions 566 to 1412 of the family's 1831-position model. The record is from RNAcentral. Lineage: Eukaryota; Metazoa; Nematoda; Chromadorea; Monhysterida; Monhysteridae.
GCCAGCAGCCGCGGUAAUUCCAGCUCCGCAAGUGUAUUCCUAUACUGUUGCGUUUAAAUAGCUCGUAGUUGGAUCUGCGUGUUUAGCGCGCGGUGUCACUUAUUUGUGACUACUGCAGUGCGACACAAAGCGCCAAAUACUUUAUAAAAGUAGUUGGCCAGUUUACUUUGAACAAAUCAGAGUGCUCAAUACGGGCGUUUCGCUUGUAUGGUCGUGCAUGGAAUAAUAGAAUAGGACCUUGGUUCUAUUUUGUUGGUUUUCGGAAUCGAGGUAAUGAUUAAGAGGGACAGACGGGGGCAUUCGUACUGCAACGUGAGAGGUGAAAUUCUUGGAUCGUUGCAAGACGAACUACUGCGAAAGCAUUUGCCAAGAAUGUUUUCAUUAAUCAAGAACGAAAGUAAUGGGUUCGAAGGCGAUCAGAUACCGCCCUAGUCAUUACCGUAAACGAUUGUAACUGGGAGCUAGCAGGAGUCCUUUGUGACUCUGCUAGAACCCACCCGGAAACGAUAAGUUUUCGAUAUCCGGGGGAAGUAUACUUGCAAAUGCGAAACUUAAAGGAAUUGACGGAAGGGCACCACCAGGGGUGGAGCCUGCGGCUUAAUUUGACUCAACACGGGGAAACUCAUCCGGUCCGGACACCGUGAGGAUUGACAGAUUGAGAGCUCUUUCUUGAUUUGGUGGGCAGUGGUGCAUGGCCGUUCUUAGUUGGUGGAGUGAUUUGUCUGGUUUAUUCCGAUAACGAACGAGACUCUGGCCUACUAACUAGUUGCGCGAUCUUCUUGUCGUGCCAACUUCUU